CGCGUAGGUGGUAGUGCAAGUCUGAGGUGGAAUCUUAGGGCUUAACCCUAAAAUUGCCUUGGAAACUGCAUUACUUGAGUCAGUGAGGGGAGGGUAGAAUUCCUGGUGUAGCGGUGAAAUGCGUAGAUAUCAGGAGGAAGGCCGGUGGCGAAGGCGGCCCUCUGGCGCUGAACUGACACUGAGGCGCGAAAGCGUGGGUAGCAAACAGGAUUAGAUACCCUGGUAGUCCACGCCCUAAACGGUGGGCACUAGGUGUAGGGCUCGUAAGGGUUCUGUGCCGAAGCGAAAGCAUUAAGUGCCUCGCCUGGGGAGUACGGCCGCAAGGUUGAA
Molecule: ribosomal RNA, 330 nt
Filed under: uncultured bacterium
Lineage: Bacteria
Description: bacterial SSU rRNA
Rfam family: Bacterial small subunit ribosomal RNA
Source: RNAcentral